This 510-nucleotide ribosomal RNA is filed under the name uncultured bacterium. Its description in RNAcentral is "bacterial SSU rRNA". It matches the Rfam family "Bacterial small subunit ribosomal RNA", at positions 1 to 507 of the family's 1533-position model. The record is from RNAcentral.
ACGAUACGAGUUUGAUCCUGGCUCAGGAUGAACGCUAGCGGCAGGCUUAAUACAUGCAAGUCGAGGGGCAGCGCGGGUAGCAAUACCUGGCGGCGACCGGCAAACGGGUGCGGAACACGUACGCAACCUUCCCAUAACUGGUGAAUAGCCCUCCGAAAGGAGGAUUAAUACACCGUAAGAUAACGAAGAGGCAUCUCUUUGUUAUUAUAGCUACGGCGGUUUUGGAUGGGCGUGCGCCUGAUUAGGUAGUUGGCGGGGUAACGGCCCACCAAGCCUACGAUCAGUAACUGGUGUGAGAGCACGACCAGUCACACGGGCACUGAGACACGGGCCCGACUCCUACGGGAGGCAGCAGUAAGGAAUAUUGGUCAAUGGACGCAAGUCUGAACCAGCCAUGCCGCGUGAAGGAUGAAGGUCCUCUGGAUUGUAAACUUCUUUUAUCUGGGACGAAAAAAGGGCUUUCUAGCUCACUUGACGGUACCAGAGGAAUAAGCACCGGCUAACUCCGUG